UGUACAAUCACUUCCCAUUCCGUGGAGCAAAGAAACAGAAUCUGGGACACCACAGGAUAGGCAGACUUGUGAGCAGGCCUCUUAGCCUGGCCCUGGUGUCAAAGAGCAGGUGCUCAGGUGUGAGACAUUUCUGAAGCAACACCUUGGCAGAAUGGUUCCGUUCACUUCUUUGUUUAAAAAGAGGUACUUUCCACUGGUGUUUUAUUACGGAAAGCUGACUACGAAAGAAUAAGUGACCCCUCCUCUUGGGUGGGGUCAAGAAAUGCAUUUGGGCAGGACAUUCAGAAUUGUGUCCUCUCCGGUGACAGCAGG
Molecule: long non-coding RNA, 312 nt
Organism: Meriones unguiculatus (Mongolian gerbil)
Lineage: Eukaryota; Metazoa; Chordata; Mammalia; Rodentia; Muridae
Exons: 3
Source: RefSeq, a predicted model, not a curated record